GACGAACGCUGGCGGCGUGCUUAACACAUGCAAGUCGAACGAAGUGGCGAACGGGUGAGUAACGCGUAAUCAACCUGCCCUUCAGAGGGGGACAACAGUUGGAAACGACUGCUAAUACCGCAUACUGAAGGAGGGGAUGGCGUUGGAUUCGCUGGUUGGGGGGGUAACGGCCCACCAAGGCGAUGAUCAGGAGCCUGGUGGGGUAGGUGAACGGCAAAAAUGGGACUUGGAAACGGCCCAGAACCCUACGGGAGGCAGCAGUGGGGAAUCUUCCGAAAUGGACGAAAGGCUGACGGAGCAAAGCCGCGUGAGUGAUGACGGCCUUCGGGUUGGAAAGCUCUGUUAAUCGGGACGCGGUACCGGAAGAGAAAGCCACGGCUAACUACGUGCCAGCAGCCGCGGUAAUUC
Molecule: ribosomal RNA, 408 nt
Filed under: uncultured bacterium
Lineage: Bacteria
Description: partial 16S ribosomal RNA
Rfam family: Bacterial small subunit ribosomal RNA
Source: RNAcentral